Long non-coding RNA from Oreochromis aureus, 2719 nucleotides. NCBI's taxonomy places the organism in Eukaryota, Metazoa, Chordata, Actinopteri, Cichliformes, Cichlidae. The record is from Ensembl.
ACCUCUGCUCCCCACGACAUCACCAACAUUUCUGCAGGACAGAACCCCCUGAUUUAAUCUACCAUAAUGCUCUCUGUUCUGUUGUCAUGGCAACAUGAAGUCAAAAAAUACAAAUACAAAAAUGCAAAAGAACAGGAGGACAACAAGACAGGCAGCUGGAAGAGCUUUUGAAGCAGAAAAACUUUUCUGGAUUUAUCUUAACUUAACUGGAAAUUUUGCAAAACAAGUCAAGCUGGAAACAAGGAGGCAGCUGGUUGGAUUAUAUCUGAGGACAGGACGCAUGAAGGAGAAGCAUGAGGAGAGAGAAAACAGCAGAGAGAUGGUGUGGAGCUAAUCGUGGAUCAAGUCGAAGAAGCAAGCACCAAAACUGUGAGUAGACAUCACACACCAAGAGCUAAAAUUACUGUGCUGAUUAAGGAAACAUUAAAUUUGGUUAGUUUGGGGUCUGGAGCUUCAGGUUUGGGGGUUCAGUUGGUCUCAAAAUUGAGGAAAGAAAAAAACAUGUUUCUUUCAAAAGGUUGUUGGAGGAUUCUUACUGUAAGAAAUGAAAAUUAAACCAUGUGUUAAAAAUGAUAAUAAAAAAUACAAAAAACCCAGAAAGUUUAAACGUCUGGGUGUGUAUCUGCUUGCUUUUUUUUUUUUUAAGUUGAAUUUGGUUUAAUAACAUUGGAAAAAGAAAACUGGAGGAUCAAGACAAUAAUGUGGCAAAAUUUACUGUUUCCUUAAUCACAACAAUAAUUUUGAUCUGAACUGAAAAUGUUGAAAUGGGUUAUUUUCUUUCUUCUCUACUGAUCACUGUGUUCAAUCUUCAGUUACUUGUCUCCAUUAAUGCUAAUGGUACUUUUAAAAAAUGCAGUAUACUUUUAAUUUUGUAGAAAAGGCUCUGCACCUGUGAAAAUAAAAAAUAGGUAUCCACAGCCCCGAGGUCACUGCAGAUCAAAGUAGCUAAGCCCUGGUUAAAUAUAAUUAUAUUACAGGAGGUGAUAAAUAUGGGAAUGAUUGAAAGAAACAAAGAUCUGGUUAAAGAUUUGGCUUUCUUAUUGAAAGAGAUGGAAACUAUUUCCUGUGUGACACUGAGAAAAAACUGAAAGCUUAAUAGAUCUGGAGAUCCAGCUGUUGUUAUAUAAAUGUGCAAAUGUAUUUUAAUGAACUUAGGAAGAAAAAAAGUGGGAUGUUUAAAAAAUAAAAUGGCAAAUUUAAUUUUGCAUUAGAUGACAAAAUUAUUUUGGUUUGUGCUGAUAUCUUUGGAAAAAGGUUUGGUCACUAAUAAGUUGAGAUUUAACAGGACAAACUGAGGGUAGGUAAUAUAAUGUACACAGUAGCUCUAAUGGCUUUAAAUGGGCAUCUGUACACCUGUAGAUAUUUUAUCAAACAUCAAUCAUAAUUUGUGAUCAAUGUGAGUUUUAAACAUUGAAAUUUCUUUAUAUUUCUGACUAAUUUACAAAAUAUUAAAAAGAAUUUGAGUUUUUUUUUUUUAAAAAAACAAGACAUUUCUAAUUGACUUCAAACUUUUGAGCUGUAGUGUAGAUUGCAGUGAUAGUGUAUAGUUAUCUAUUAUAGAAGAUGAUAUAGAAGUAUGAGGACAGGGAGACACUGUUAAAACGUUAUGAGCUGUCUUGCUGCAGAGAAAGUGGAGUGUGUCAUCCUUGAAAUGCUCCCUAGAUAGGCAGCUGGCAGGAUUGAAUGAUGCUCUGCCUCUGUGGUCAAGUACAGACAUAGGCCUUAAGCAACCAUGAGCCACUGAUGAGCGUGACAGAUUAGGAAGCAGGCAUAAAGUUAGACACCUGUGAGCCACUAAUAGGAGAAAAUGAGCACGCAAUAAAGUGGACUUGUUAGGCAGAUUUUGCCAUCAGAGUUAAAACACUUCAACUCAAUUUUUGAUGAUAGACACAACUAAAAAACUCCUGAUCAGAUACAGACACAUGUACACAAUACACACUACUGCUCAAAAGUUUGUGGUCAGAUUGAAACAUUCUUGUUUCAUUUAUGAAUUUACAUUUGCUUUAACGUAAUAUUACAUGAAGUUUAUCAGUAAUGUUUUCACAGAUGUGUUUUUAAUGAAUCAUUUAUGGUAAAUCAGUCAUGAUGUGUUAGGAAAUGUCUACACAGUUAUACAUGGGCCCAUUUUUACUAUCAAUCACUCCUGUAUGGACAGAUCACAUGGUUAUAAACCAGAUGCAAAUUUGAUUUAAUGUGAAUAUAAAGCAAAAAUGGGAUGAUACAUCACAAACCUCACAGAUUUACUGUUGUUAAUCUGUACAAUGAUGCUGGUUUGUGCUGAUGUCUUUGGAAAAAGUUGUCUUGACUGAAACGCUGGGAUUUAAAGAGACAUCUGGUAACAAAAUGUGCCACUGAAACACAACAGGUAUUAUUGCUGAAAAUGGUCCUCUGUAGAUGUCAUGGUCCCUGAGCCCUGUUUUCUUUGCCUGCUUUUCUCUCUCUCUCCUCUGUCCGUGUGCUUGUCUGUUUCAGGGGAUGCCCCUCCUCCUUCCUGUCGUUCAGUCACUUGUCAACAACCAGCUGAUUGCUCCCCUGCUCCUCAUGAAGUCUUCAUGCUGGCUUCUCAACAACCACAUCAUUGCAUCACCAAGACCUUUCAGCUUUUUCGGAUCCCUGCAAUCUUCUGUGACAGUGUCUGAGUGUGCCUUCAGACAGCCUGCAGUACCUCUGCCCGUCUCCUGGAGCCCACAGUGUUUAUCCUGUAUUCAUAACUAUCUGC